AGUGAAUAGAUACCCCGGUAGUCCCAGCCGUAAACGAUGCUCGCUAGGUGUCAGGCAUGGCGCGACCGUGUCUGGUGCCGCAGGGAAGCCGUGAAGCGAGCCACCUGGGAAGUACGGCCGCAAGGCUGAAACUUAAAGGAAUUGGCGGGGGAGCACAACAACGGGUGGAGCCUGCGGUUUAAUUGGACUCAACGCCGGACAACUCGCCGGGGGCGACAGCAAUAUGUAGGCCAGGCUGAAGACCUUGCCUGAAUCGCUGAGAGGAGGUGCAUGGCCGUCGCCAGUUCGUACUGUGAAGCAUCCUGUUAAGUCAGGCAACGAGCGAGACCCGUGCCCACUGUUACCAGCAUAUUCUCCGGAAUGAUGGGUACUCUGUGGGGACCGCCGAUGUUAAAUCGGAGGAAGGUGCGGGCCACGGUAGGUCAGUAUGCCCCGAAUCUCCCGGGCUACACGCGGGCUACAAUGGAUGGGACAAUGGGUCCCUACCCCGAAAGGGGCUGGUAAUCUCACAAACCCAUUCGUAGUUCGGAUCGAGGGCUGUAAC
This 544-nucleotide ribosomal RNA is filed under the name uncultured bacterium. Its description in RNAcentral is "bacterial SSU rRNA". It matches the Rfam family "Archaeal small subunit ribosomal RNA", at positions 724 to 1267 of the family's 1478-position model. The record is from RNAcentral.